UGGCGAACGGGUGAGUAACACGUGAGCAACCUGCCCCUGACUCUGGGAUAAGCGCUGGAAACGGCGUCUAAUACUGGAUAUGUGACGUGACCGCAUGGUCUGCGUUUGGAAAGAUUUUUCGGUUGGGGAUGGGCUCGCGGCCUAUCAGCUUGUUGGUGAGGUAAUGGCUCACCAAGGCGUCGACGGGUAGCCGGCCUGAGAGGGUGACCGGCCACACUGGGACUGAGACACGGCCCAGACUCCUACGGGAGGCAGCAGUGGGGAAUAUUGCACAAUGGGCGCAAGCCUGAUGCAGCAACGCCGCGUGAGGGAUGACGGCCUUCGGGUUGUAAACCUCUUUUAGCAGGGAAGAAGCGAAAGUGACGGUACCUGCAGAAAAAGCGCCGGCUAACUACGUGCCAGCAGCCGCGGUAAUACGUAGGGCGCAAGCGUUAUCCGGAAUUAUUGGGCGUAAAGAGCUCGUAGGCGGUUUGUCGCGUCUGCUGUGAAAUCCCGAGGCUCAACCUCGGGCCUGCAGUGGGUACGGGCAGACUAGAGUGCGGUAGGGGAGA
Molecule: ribosomal RNA, 551 nt
Filed under: Microbacterium paraoxydans
Lineage: Bacteria; Bacillati; Actinomycetota; Actinomycetes; Micrococcales; Microbacteriaceae
Description: bacterial SSU rRNA
Rfam family: Bacterial small subunit ribosomal RNA
Source: RNAcentral